AGCGAAGUUAACACCAUGUAGGGGAGCAGGUGCCUUAAAGUCUGGCUUCGCCCCCAAAAGAGUACAGCACCAUGAAGAAGAAAUUAUCAAAGGACUAUACAAAGGAGGGAGGCAAAAUAAAGCAUACCUUGUCCCUGAAGGUGAGAAAUAUCCAAACCUUCCUUUAGGCGGAUGACAACUACACCAUACUGAAUGUCAAAGGCAUCACUGUAAAAGGCCUUCAAAAAUGCAGAAUAAGCAAGAUGGGGGAAGAGAUAAGAGUAACAGCAACAGUUUUUAACAUAAGCAGUCCUGGAAGGGGCUAGAGGAUGAUGUGGAAGAUCUUUUAUCUGCCUGCAAGGAAUGUAUUAUUACCUGGACUGGCCCCCCACCUCUGGCAGCACCAGGAGAAUCUUGCACUUCAGUGGUUCAGUG
Molecule: long non-coding RNA, 414 nt
Organism: Mauremys mutica (yellowpond turtle)
Lineage: Eukaryota; Metazoa; Chordata; Testudines; Geoemydidae
Exons: 4
Source: RefSeq, a predicted model, not a curated record